RNAcentral lists this ribosomal RNA (359 nucleotides) under uncultured bacterium. RNAcentral's name for it is "partial 16S ribosomal RNA". It matches the Rfam family "Bacterial small subunit ribosomal RNA", at positions 338 to 694 of the family's 1533-position model. The record is from RNAcentral.
CCUACGGGUGGCUGCAGUGAGGAAUAUUGGUCAAUGGGCGCGAGCCUGAACCAGCCAAGUAGCGUGAAGGAUGACUGCCCUACGGGUUGUAAACUUCUUUUAUAAAGGAAUAAAGUGAGGCACGUGUGCCUUUUUGUAUGUACUUUAUGAAUAAGGAUCGGCUAACUCCGUGCCAGCAGCCGCGGUAAUACGGAGGAUCCGAGCGUUAUCCGGAUUUAUUGGGUUUAAAGGGAGCGUAGAUGGGGUGUUAAGUCAGUUGUGAAAGUUUGCGGCUCAACCGUAAAAGUGCAAUUGAUACUGGCAGUGUUGAGGACGGGUGAGGUAGGCGGAAGGCGUGGUGUAGCGGUGAAAUGCUUAGA